RNAcentral lists this ribosomal RNA (465 nucleotides) under uncultured Klebsiella sp. Its description in RNAcentral is "bacterial SSU rRNA". It matches the Rfam family "Bacterial small subunit ribosomal RNA", at positions 338 to 795 of the family's 1533-position model. The record is from RNAcentral. Lineage: Bacteria; Pseudomonadati; Pseudomonadota; Gammaproteobacteria; Enterobacterales; Enterobacteriaceae.
CCUACGGGAGGCAGCAGUGGGGAAUAUUGCACAAUGGGCGCAAGCCUGAUGCAGCCAUGCCGCGUGUGUGAAGAAGGCCUUCGGGUUGUAAAGCACUUUCAGCGGGGAGGAAGGCGGUGAGGUUAAUAACCUCAUCGAUUGACGUUACCCGCAGAAGAAGCACCGGCUAACUCCGUGCCAGCAGCCGCGGUAGUACGGAGGGUGCAAGCGUUAAUCGGAAUUACUGGGCGUAAAGCGCACGCAGGCGGUCUGUCAAGUCGGAUGUGAAAUCCCCGGGCUCAACCUGGGAACUGCAUUCGAAACUGGCAGGCUAGAGUCUUGUAGAGGGGGGUAGAAUUCCAGGUGUAGCGGUGAAAUGCGUAGAGAUCUGGAGGAAUACCGGUGGCGAAGGCGGCCCCCUGGACAAAGACUGACGCUCAGGUGCGAAAGCGUGGGGAGCAAACAGGAUUAGAUACCCGUGUAGUC